This is a long non-coding RNA of Macadamia integrifolia, 2115 nucleotides long. RefSeq lists it as uncharacterized. The transcript is spliced from 2 exons. Lineage: Eukaryota; Viridiplantae; Streptophyta; Magnoliopsida; Proteales; Proteaceae. The record is from RefSeq and is a predicted model, not a curated record.
CUUGUUUUUCCAUUAUCUUAUGCAUCGCUUUAGGGUUGCAUUUCUACAAUUUCUUCUCAAGAACACUUGUAAAUAAAAUUGAAAACAGAAAAAAUUUCUCAAGAACUACCAACCUAGAUAUUGUGUCGAAUAGCCUAGGGUAGAGCUCACCAACACCAUUGACAAACAACCUGAAGUCCGAAGUCAAAGUAUCAUUAUGAGUCUGAUUUUAUUUUAAAUAUCUAAUAUUUCCACUGUGCUUAGAAGGCCUAAAAUAGGCUAGAUGACAAGUUUCAGGGGCUAACUUGGCUUUAUGGCUACCGAAACCCAUCCCGAGUUGUCCUGGCAAAAAAUACCAGAGAUCUCAGUUUUUGGCCCGGGCGAAACCGAGACCUCAAACCUUGCUUCUAGUGACCUGAAUCAUAUAGGUCUUAGGAAUACCUCUCAUCCAAUAGGAAACAAGUAUUGAACAACCAGGGAAAUAAUAAACUGAACAGAAUAGAACUCCUACACAAUUCACUUAAGAGAGACCAAUUUGUACUGAAACUCUUAACAAAAGAAGGACAACAUGGAAUCCCUCUAAUCUGGAGCUCUUAAGCUCUAUUACAAGUUUACAAGUAAUAAAAUAAAGAAGAAAUUAAGCAAUAAAACUUCCUGUCCCACGAUGGGAGGACCCAUUCCUAGUUCAAUUUUGAACCAGAACUGUAUGGCUGCGGUGGCUGCUGAGUUAACUCAGAAUGCUAGGUUGAGUUACUGAGUUAACUCCUGGGUCUUCUUCCUCCUUUGGUACGUAAUCUGGAUCAUUAGAGGCUCUUGUUAUUUCUAAGAAAACUAAAAUGUAUCUGAUGGUUAUAUUUAUUGAACAGUACUGUGAUAAAAAGGUGAGUCAAAAGAUGGCGAGGGAAAUGCACGUCUCUUAUCCAGAGAUUCCUCACAUUUAAGAUAUUCUGAUCAGCCACAUCAGCCUCUAAUGUGACUGUAAACAUGUGCUCUUCAAGGUUCAAAGCACCUGGAAUCAUUACAGAAAACUUUAGGUCUUAAAUAAGGUCAUUACUAGAACGAAAUGUCCACUAUACAAAAUGAAUAUUUUAAGCCAUGCGCACAAAAAAAAAAUGAGUAUCAUCUAUUAAAAAGGAAAACAUGUGUUGAAAUUUUUAAAGAUAAGCCUACUAUGUUUUUUAAUGUGACCUGACCAGUUGGCCUGGAUCUAGUUAAUUCUAAGGAUAUAGGACAAGAACAACAGUGGGAUCCUGAACUUGGUAGUCAUUGAUCCAUAAAAGAUAUGGUGAUUAUGCUCAAAUGAAAAGAAUUCUAAUUCUAUCAAGUUGAUUGAUUCAAUUGAGUCUAAGUUAAACCUUGAUAAUGGGUCAACCAUCUUACUGAAACAUGGGAAUGAAAUUUGCAUAGGUGAAUGCUUCUGGGUUCGGCAAAUAUAGAACUCACCUGGUUGGUUUACAACACUGCAGGGUUGGGAUUUACCUAUAUGAAUUUGUGUUACCUGUCCAUCACAAUGUCCAAUUAGUUGGUAUCCCAUUCUUGAGUCGUUUGAUCCUGUAAGUAGUUCAUUUUCUCAUGCAGAUUCUGAAGGCGAAGAUGAGCAUGAAGAGUGAUCCCAUUCAAGAUUGACAGAAUUUACAUAUAAUUAUCAGCAAGGUUUUCAUACCCUGACCCCAUUGUUGCAUUCCAACGGUGAAUUGAUCUAUUGUUAAUACUUUCAAUGAAAGAAGCCCUUCACAUUUCAAGGUAGUGGAUAUAUUAGUUAAAAAGCAAGCAGUGGAGCAAAUUAGAGUAGAUGCCAACUGUUGGGAGAUUAUAUUCAUGGUUAGAAUCAUGGACUGCAGCACCAGUUUUCAUUGCUGAGAAAUAAGUAACUAAUUGUAAAUAAGUUCCAAGGCUUGAUGCUGUAAUAAAUAUAUAUAUAUAUAUAUAUUAAAUUAUUCUCAAGCCUAUCCUAACUGUGUUUGUGUAUCAUUAGUUCCUGUUGGAUCCUUUCAUUUGUGACUGAACUUCUUGGGAAAUUUUUUGAUGUAGUGAGAUGAGUCGUGUGGACAGAUGUUAGCCUGGGAGCUUGUGUAACAGUGUGAGUGCUCUGUUAUGUUCAAUUCAAGGAAAACAAAUCAUUACCCACCUGUCCAA